Molecule: long non-coding RNA, 1859 nt
Filed under: Cyanistes caeruleus (blue tit)
Lineage: Eukaryota; Metazoa; Chordata; Aves; Passeriformes; Paridae
Description: lncRNA (ENSCCEG00000022473.1)
Source: RNAcentral
AUGACAAGUGGUGCCCAAACAGGGACUCGGUAUUCAAGGUCUCCUGUGUUGGAUUCGGUCAGUGGGGAGUGCUGCAAUGGUAGACAACUCCCUUUCCACCAGUUUUUGGAUCCUUCAAGAAGUCAGCUAAACUAUCCACCCUUCGGCCAGCCUGCCUGUCCGUCGGGGGAUCCCGCCUUCAGCUCCGCCCUGUCUCCCUUGUCUCCCUUGCAGUGCGCCCUUUCCACCGCGGGCCACUCGCAGGCACUGGGCCCUGGCAGCAGCGCCCGUGCCGGCACCGAGAGGCCCCGGCAGGUGGGGGACAGCGAUCGUCUCCCCCCUUUCAGCCGCACGGCUUUGCAGCCACCGACAGCUCCGGGGCGGGGUGGCGCUGCCACCGCCGGCGAGCGAGCGCUGCAUCUGUNNNNNNNNNNNNNNNNNNNNGCCCCGGGCGGCGCUGCUGCCGCGGCCCCCGCGCUCGGCUGUCCCCCGACAGCCCCCACAGAAACGGGGGCACAGCGCGGCCGAGCCCCUUUGGAGCGGAGCGGGGCCGCGCUCCCGCCGCAGCUCAAACUCAGCACCGCCUCCGACCAACUCUGCUGCUUGGCAACCAGCAUCUGCCGCCGGGCUGUGAAUUUUGGAUUCACAGAGAACCGCCUGGCUUUGAGCGUGACCUACACAGCUGUAAUGAAGUACUUGGAAUAUUCAAGAUCCUGCUCCUCACUGAAGGAGGAUAGUCCCACAACCGAAGCAGCACAUUUGGGAGACGAUGGAAAACAUCACAGAUUCCCUGCUGCUAGUGCCUGGACAUGGCUGCAAGGACUUUGAGGGCAUGUGUUGCAUGAACUUUCCAGCCACAGUGGGUCAAUACACAGGAGCAUCCAAGUACUGAAGGAAGUGAGUAAAGAAGUCACAAGUUGAAAAUGGAAAUGACUGGUUGAGUGGACUUUUCAAAAACUGGGGUUUGCACCUAGGUUGCUAUCAUUGGUUAAAACAGGUUUGCUUGUUCUUACAGUUAUUUUUGUUGUAUUGUUAAUGUUACCUUGCUUAAUAACUUUUUUUUAAGGGUUGUCAGGAAGUCUAUUCAAGAAAUUUUAAUUGCUCAAAAGGAAGGGGGAUAUGUAGAGAUGGAAUUGGCUUGGCAUCAGCUUAAGACUGUGAGAUGUUAGCAAGCCUGUUCAUAUAAGGUUAUGCUUCCAGAAUGUUCUUAGUUCUCAUCCCUGAUCGAUUGUCGUUUGGCACAUUAUUUUUAAUACUCAUAAUCUCAGUCUGUGAUUGAACCCUGCCUCCAGAUCCACCUCAGAUCUUCCUUACAUAUAUUGUUGUAGCCAUGUUUUUUGCACCUUUUGUGGUUGACCCUAUGCUGUGUGUUUGCCUUCUGCUGUUUGUUAUCUUGCCAUUAAAGCAAUUUUACUUUUCGGGUCACCCAACCGUGCCCGUCCUGUUUAUUUGCCACACCACUCCUGGCUGGCCUGGGUCCAGGGUUGUGAAGCCAAAACUUGACACAAAAUCUUAAGAGUAUCAAUAUUUAGGUGUCAUAGGAUGCUCUUAAGAUGUACAACUCCUUCCUUCAUCUUUUUCCAUGUGUAUGCCAAUAUUGCAUCCCUGUGCUGCACUGCUCAUCCUCAUCCCACAAAGGCCUUUCUCUUCCAUCCCCCUCCAGCUCAGACUCAGCACUCAUUCCCCAAAGCUGAGUGGAGUGACCUGGAGAACGUGAGGACACCCUAAUUCACCUGUUAAUAAGAGAUAAAGAACAUGUACAUACCCUUCCUAUAGGUUUUCCUCAAGUCCAUACUUGCUUUCUUUCAACACACCUUGGAUAUGCCAGCUUUCCUCUCUUACACUGUACUUGAAAUAAAGUUGUGCCAGAUUCUGCUCCA